GGUUUAAUAGUUUAGGACCUGUGGGUUUGUUAAGUAUUGUUUGCAUUAAUGAAUUAAAGCUCCAUAGGGUCUUCUCGUCUUGCUAUGUUAUGCCCGCCUCUUCACGGGUAGGUCAAUUUCACUGGUUGAAAGUAAGAGACAGCGGUGCUUUAUGUUAAGCUUCACUCUGGUUCGUCCAAGUGCACUUUCCAGUACACUUACCAUGUUACGACUUAUCUCCUCUAUAUAAAUGCGUAGGGGGUUUAGUUAAAUAUCCUUUGAAGUAUACUUGAGGAGGGUGACGGGCGGUGUGUACGCGCUUCAGGGCC
Molecule: long non-coding RNA, 308 nt
Filed under: Pan troglodytes (chimpanzee)
Lineage: Eukaryota; Metazoa; Chordata; Mammalia; Primates; Hominidae
Description: long non-coding RNA NONPTRT017756
Source: RNAcentral